RNA transcript from Oryza sativa Japonica Group (Japanese rice), 1458 nucleotides. RefSeq lists it as uncharacterized. Lineage: Eukaryota; Viridiplantae; Streptophyta; Magnoliopsida; Poales; Poaceae. The record is from RefSeq and is a predicted model, not a curated record.
AGCUUUUCUCCCUCCCUCUCUCUUUUCCUUCUCUGUUUUUCCUUCUUCCGCUGCAGCUGCCGCCGGCGAGGGCGGGGGCGGCCAGCAUCCUCGUGGCACAGCCGGAACCCUAGCCGCCGGCCGCCGGCGCCGCCACCUCCCCGAAAAUCCGUCGCCAUCGAUCAUCCUCUCGCACAAUCGAAGAUUGGUGGUUGGGCAUGGAUCUGAUUCUUCCAUUUAAAAAGGGCGAUUUCGCGGAGUCAAAGUCCUUCAUCGAUGGUUACAAAUGUGCUUGGUUUCGCUGUAAGAUUAAUGAUAUGCGUGUCACAGAAACAGGGUCCUUUCAGUAUUUACUGGAGUAUCUUGAUUACCCAGACGAAGAGAAAACAUGGACUGAAGUCUUUGAAAAGAACCCAGCGUAUGGCAAAAGGAACUCAAAUGUGGUUAGAGAAAGAGAAUGCAUGCUUCGUCCUUCCUAUCCUGAGUUGUAUUGGGGGGAUCAAGUUCCCGAGCAAUUUCCAAAGAGUAAUGUGAUAGUAUCUGUUUGUGAUACCCCGAAAGUAGGUGAUCUGGUUGAGUGGUUGUCUGAAGGUUCUUACUGGACUGCGAAAGUUACUAAGUUACUUAGUGAAGAUAUGGUUAAGGUACAGCUGUUGAAACCUCCUAUAGGUGAAGGGGGGAGUUAUACUGCUUACUGCAAGGACAUCAGGCCUGCUCUUGAUUGGUGCCUGGAGAAAGGUUGGACUGUACCUCUUUCACAGGCAAAUGGACGGUGCUGGCAUGCUGCUCGUCUGAUUCAUCAUAAAUCUGACACAGAGAUGAGUGGUUCAGAUGAAGAGUCGACAUCUGAUGACGAUGAAGAGGAAGCGCAGAAAUCCUUGAAAAGAGCAUCAAAUUCGUCUCAAGAAGCUCCAGGCUCAAACCUGGAAAUUACAUCAGAUACAACCUCCAGUUCUAGGAUUAACAGUCAGACAGCUACCAUUGCCACAACCAAGGGGAUUUCGAGAUCCAGCCCGGUAUCCAUUUCCACUGGGCCAUAGUCAUGGUGCACAAGCAGCUGUGACUUGUACAGUUAACCAGGUACCCGCAGUUCCAGCAGACAAUUAGGGAUAUAGGUGAUAGACAUGUCCAAUAGCACAAAUGUUUCAGAGCUGGAUAGGAUCUCAAACAGUACUAUAGCCGCUGAGUCUCUUCCAAAGAUCUGAACUGGCUACCCCCUCAACCAUUUGUGGAGAAGGAUCCAUCACGAGACACAACACUAUAUAAAUAUAAGAAAUAUAAUGAUGUUGGAGUCUUGGAGAUACAUCAGCAUUCAGCCAGUACUUCAUCCCAUGAAAUGGAUAUAUGCUUUACACGUUGUUGUUUUCAUGACUGAAGUGCUACGUUGGCAGGCUGCAAUGUUUGCAGCGUUGCCGCUACUUUUAGGGACAGUUCAUUUGACUGAUCAAUGAGAUUUAUACAGCUCUGAAAUUUCAGACA